This 107-nucleotide small nuclear RNA is filed under the name Canis lupus familiaris (dog). The record is from RNAcentral. Lineage: Eukaryota; Metazoa; Chordata; Mammalia; Carnivora; Canidae. RNAcentral also lists the same sequence under 1 other name.
GUGCUCACUUCAGCAGCACAUAUACUAAAAUUGGGACAACACAGAGAAGAUUAGCCUGGCCCCUGAGCAAGGAUGACAUGCAAAUUUGUGAAGUGUUCCAUAUUUUU